This 234-nucleotide long non-coding RNA is filed under the name Carica papaya (papaya). Its description in RNAcentral is "long non-coding RNA (CPAP_LNC009870)". The record is from RNAcentral. Lineage: Eukaryota; Viridiplantae; Streptophyta; Magnoliopsida; Brassicales; Caricaceae.
UUGAGGCUAGAAGUGGAAACAAAAUACAAAAUAUCAACAUACAAAAAGGCCACUUCUUUCACUGUACAAAUGAACUCAUCAGAGUGCGAGACAAGUCAUGCAUUUAAGGUUUGUAGAUCCACGGAAUCCUCAUAGACUUCAAGGGAUAGGUCAGCGAUCGGUUCCUCACUAUCUUCCUCAUCUUGGAGGCAUAAAAAGCGGUGAGUUCUAUAUACUUAGUAAGAAAAAUAGUAU